AGACGUACCUCACGGAAGCCGGCUUUGGCCCUGCGGCUGCUACCGUCGCCGCGGAGAAAUUGUUGGAUCUGGCAGUCUAGGAAUGAAUCUCCUCUCAGCCUUUAAGCUCACCUGGUCAGAAUCCUUGGAUGAGCCUGUGGGACCGUUCCUCCUAGCCCUGUGGUUUGGAACCAGUGGCUUUGGGACUGUAAGAGGAUGGACAAAGGUAGUAUGAGGCCGGGACAGCUCCCCAAAUGCUCGGGCGCCAAGCAUCUGCUGAUUCCACUCUGUGCCUGGCACUUGUGUCUUUCGGUCCUGGCUAGGCCUUGCCACCUCCCCCUGGGCCAGCACCACCCAUGUACCUGUCGGCAGAGCCACAGUUGACUGACUUGCUGUUGAGCUGCUGCUCUUUAGCACGGCUGCAUUUUGAUGGCAGAGGGAGCAGUUAUGCCCAGAGCCCAGCGUGUCGGCAUCACCAGUCUGACCUGAGCACCAUGUGCUGCACGACAUGACACGUGGCACCGGGGGAACUGCCCAGCGUGGAAGGUCUGGGCCAGGUCUGAGCCCAGAUGGGAUCUGGAUGGCCAAGGAACUCUACCUUAAAACCUCAAGUGUCAAGGAGGCAGGGGAGGGGCCAAGAGGGCUGGCAGGGGAAGGGGGCUGGGGAGGGGUCCCAUUUGCAGAGGCUGCUUCCUCUGUCAGUGCCUUUCUCUGCGUAGUCCUUGGUUUCCCAUCUUUCUCUGGCCUGCAUAGACCUACUCCCCCAAUUCUUCAGGUCCCAGCCCUCACCUGCCCCAUUUCCCCAGAUUACCCUGGGCAGAGCAACCAAGGAUAACCAGAUUGAUGUGGACCUGUCUCUGGAGGGUCCGGCCUGGAAGAUAUCCCGGAAACAAGGUAUCCCCCACCCCCUGCCCCAGCAGGAAGCAGUGUGAGGUCGUCCCAGCCUCUCGCUGUCCUUUCUAGCCCUGGGGCUUGGUGUCCAUGGGGACCCUCGUGGACCACCUGAGGCAGGGAUUCCUUGGUGUCUGCAGGAAGCAGAGCUGGUCCAUGGAAGCUCCUGGCUCUCUCUGGCCUUUCCCCAUCCCAUCAAUC
This 1071-nucleotide small RNA is filed under the name Pan troglodytes (chimpanzee). RNAcentral describes it as "retained intron". The record is from RNAcentral. Lineage: Eukaryota; Metazoa; Chordata; Mammalia; Primates; Hominidae.